GACGAACGCUGGCGGCGUGCUUAACACAUGCAAGUCGAACGGAAAGGCCCUGCUUUUGUUGGGUGCUCGAUUGGCGAACGGGUGAGUAACACGUGAGUAACCUGCCCUUGACUUUGGGAUAACUUCAGGAAACAGGGGCUAAUACCGGAUAGGAUCUCCUGCUGCAUGGUGGGGGUUGGAAAGUUUCGGCGGUUGGGGCUGGACUCGAGGCUUAUCAGCUUGUUGGUGGGGUAGUGGCUUACGAAGGCUUUGACGGGUAGCCGGCCUGAGAGGGUGACCGGCGUCAUGGGGACUGAGAUACGGACCAGACGCCUACGGGAGGCAGCAGUGGGGAAUAUUGCACAAUGGGGGGAAGCCUGAUGCAGCAACGUCGCGUGCGGGAUGACGGCCUUCGGGUUGUAAACCGCUUUGGCCUGUGACGAAGCGUGAGUGACGGUAAUGGGUAAAGAAGCAACGGCUAACUACGUG
This 468-nucleotide ribosomal RNA is filed under the name uncultured bacterium. RNAcentral's name for it is "partial 16S ribosomal RNA". It matches the Rfam family "Bacterial small subunit ribosomal RNA", at positions 28 to 507 of the family's 1533-position model. The record is from RNAcentral.